RNAcentral lists this long non-coding RNA (1029 nucleotides) under Junco hyemalis (dark-eyed junco). Its description in RNAcentral is "lncRNA (ENSJHYG00000001181.1)". The record is from RNAcentral. Lineage: Eukaryota; Metazoa; Chordata; Aves; Passeriformes; Passerellidae.
GUCUCCUGCACGUAUCAAAACCCAUUAACAAACAGCCACAAUCCGUGCCCUGGGGAAGCAGAGCAAGCUGCUUUUCUUUUUCUUGGCUGGCUCAGCCCGUGCUGGAGUUGUGGGACUUUUCAUCUGUGCACUCAAGAGGAGCGGAGUAAAAGUAGGAUGAUAAAUUGUGGAAAAAAAAGAAACUCGCUGGCUUUGCUCAGAACCUCUGGCCUGCAGCUCCUCCUCUCGCUGUACUCCUUCCAGCACCCCAGAAUUCCCUGCCUCCCUGCAUGUUAUGGCACCUUUGGGAUGUGUUAGUCAUAAGCAUGAAGCUACUGGUGCUUUGCAGGGAUAUUUUCACUCUGGCUCUGGCAGGAGAGCUCUGACACAGCCCUGCUGUCGGCAGCGCUCGCUCAACGACGCCUCCUGAGAUCCCAAAACUCCAAAAAAAAAAGGGGGAAACGGCCAAUUUUCAUUUCCUCAGGGAACAAUGAGAAAAUUUGUCUUUCUGAGCCUAUCUCCUUCUGAAAUGAGCUCCAGGAGUAGUCACAACCUGCCAUAAAAAUGCCAUGUGCAAGAGAAUAUAUUUAAUAUGGGGCAGGCAGAAUGGAACGAUACGAUCUGUUUGGGGUUUGAAGCACCAAGGUUCUGACUCUGCUCCUUGGGAACCUUCCUCAUCCAGAUCACAGGGAUUUCCAAAAUUGCAGCAUUCCCUCAAAGCUGAAAAUAAAUCUCCAGAAAUCUCUUGGAAAACUGAAGAUGAAUCUCCAAAAACCUCCUCCAAAGCUGAUGAUCACUACCAUUACUGAGCGCUGAGGAAUGGAUCCCUUUUCCAAGAGGAGCCUGGGGUGGGCUGGAACCCCCUGAGCUGAGCUCAGAUUCAGUGCCAGGGGCAGUGCCAGCUCUGGGCUGCUGCAGGAGCCAGGUGAACGAGCCUGCAAGGGAAUGAUCGAGGCAGCUGCAAGGGAUAAAUUUCACCUCCUCAGUCCUCAAGGAGAAAACAACUUUGAUUGCCCUUUGAGUCCUCCUGUCUCGGGUUUUGGUUGUUAA